UCAGAGACGCUGCCCCUGGUCGUCCGUAACGAUGGCAUCAUACCUCUCAAGUUUAUGUUGCGCCCAAAGGAUGAGCAUGGAGCGUUCUUCUUGAAAGGCAGGGCCUCCACACUCGAGGUAUUCCACACUGAAGAUAUGGAAGACGACUCCAUUGAAAACGAGAGCAAUCCCCCAAAGAAGUCGUUCUUCCUUC
This is a non-coding RNA of Lonchura striata (white-rumped munia), 193 nucleotides long. The record is from RefSeq and is a predicted model, not a curated record. Lineage: Eukaryota; Metazoa; Chordata; Aves; Passeriformes; Estrildidae.